UCAUGUAAAAUCUUUAAUAAUCGAUACAUUUUAAAUAGAUAACAAUAUUUCUAAUAAUAAUAACAGAUACAUUAAAAGAUAAAUGAUUAAUAUAAUAAAUAAUAAAAUAGAAAACAGGAUUAAUCUUCACCGUGAUAACCCAAACCUACUGACAUUACUAGUAAACAGCACAUGCACAUAACAUAAAUCAUGUAAUUGCCAGGAAAAGUGUCUAAGCUCCAUCAUUACAGUAAACAAUGAGUUAUCUCCAUUCCUCCUCUCAUAUAUCACACAGCCAGCAUGCCACAACUGUUUAUACAUGUUGUGAAAAGCUGAAGAAGCUCAUAUAUUAGCAGAAAAGAUAGGUUAUAUAUCUCUGUCGCUUUGGUCUGGUCGUUCCCGCUCUGAACCCCACUGAUAAUAGUCACUGUGACGUCAACCAUCAGACGCACACGCAUGCUUUAGAGGGAUGUAAACAAACAUCUCAUAUGAUAAGCACAAUAAUCCUUUCUGACCCACCACUCCAUGCCUUGUUCUGAGUGAAGGUUACAGAAUUCUGCCAGCUCUCAUCAAACUGUCUGUGAGAGCAAAGCUCUGGUUAUGGCCCUCUCUGCUGCCAUGGGGUUGCAGACACAUUGCAAUGGUAAACAGCUCUGGGUGAAGUCUCUGUUCAUGAAGAGAAGAUUAAUACACACCAGAGUGAUGAAUGCGUCUGAUGAGCCAUGGAGCAACAAGCCACAGAUCGGGUCUCAUUAGACAUCCCCACGGGGAAAUGACUUCAACCACACGGCUGCAGCUGUUUAUGUGGAAGAGGAGAAAGCACAGAAACAUAACAAACCUCCAUCACAGAAAGAAACCUAGUUUGUUUUUUUGUUGCUAAAUUUCAUCUUUCAAAAAAAAUAGCUCAACAAAACUGUAAAGAUGUGUGCAUCCGUU
This is a long non-coding RNA of Carassius gibelio (silver crucian carp), 915 nucleotides long. RefSeq lists it as uncharacterized. The record is from RefSeq and is a predicted model, not a curated record. The transcript has 2 exons. Lineage: Eukaryota; Metazoa; Chordata; Actinopteri; Cypriniformes; Cyprinidae.